AAACUUCAGCAACGGAUCUCUUGGCUCUCGCAUCGAUGAGAACGCAGCGAAAUGCGAUACGUAAUGUGAAUUGCAGAUUCCGUGAAUCAUCGAAUCUUUGAACGCACAUUGCGCCUUUGGGCCAAACCAAGGCAUGCCAGUGUCA
This 145-nucleotide ribosomal RNA is filed under the name Schizosaccharomyces octosporus yFS286. RNAcentral's name for it is "5.8S ribosomal RNA". It matches the Rfam family "5.8S ribosomal RNA". Rfam says of the family: 5.8S ribosomal RNA (5.8S rRNA) is a component of the large subunit of the eukaryotic ribosome. Lineage: Eukaryota; Fungi; Ascomycota; Schizosaccharomycetes; Schizosaccharomycetales; Schizosaccharomycetaceae. The record is from RNAcentral.